RNAcentral lists this transfer RNA (85 nucleotides) under Actinomycetes bacterium. RNAcentral describes it as "Actinobacteria bacterium tRNA-Tyr". It matches the Rfam family "tRNA". From Rfam's summary of the family: Transfer RNA (tRNA) molecules are approximately 80 nucleotides in length. Their secondary structure includes four short double-helical elements and three loops (D, anti-codon, and T loops). Lineage: Bacteria; Bacillati; Actinomycetota; Actinomycetes. The record is from RNAcentral.
GGCGGGGUUCCCGAGCGGUCAAAGGGGACGCGCUGUAAACGCGUUGGCUCUGCCUUCGCAGGUUCGAAUCCUGCCCCCGCCACCU